AGAAAGUUAGUCUAAUUAAGACAGUUGAUUUCGACUCAACAAAUCAUAGCCCUAUCCUAUGACUUUCUC
Molecule: transfer RNA, 69 nt
Filed under: Aethia cristatella
Lineage: Eukaryota; Metazoa; Chordata; Aves; Charadriiformes; Alcidae
Description: tRNA-Arg
Source: RNAcentral